UACAAAUAUACGCUGCUCUGGCCACCUCUGGGUAGAGCCAGCCACGGUUGUUAAGAUGGGUGUAAAUAUCUCUAUAUAUUGCCAAGCAGCCAUUAAGAACUGCCAACCAAGGAGACUUAAUUUUUAUAAAAAUGGCAUAAAAGAAAGAUUUCAAAUCACAAGGAUUAAUAACACAAGAGCUCGGCUUUGGUACAAAAACUUUCUGGACCCACAUGCAUCUAUAUACUGCACUGCUGAAUGUCCUGGACGUGUUCAAGAGACACUGAUAUGUGGAGAAGAUGUUUUUUCUGGGUGUAAGUUUUGGGGCACAUUCACAAAACAAACCCAAAUUAGUCUAAUAAUGCACUGGUAAUUGCUAGGCUUAUCUGAAAACAGGCAAAUUGACAUAGUUCAUCUCUUAGUUGGGCUUAAUACAGGAACUUCUAAUGCAAACAUCUCCAGGGUCAGGUUAGUGAACUGUAAGUUAAGGAUGCUGGUGGGAUCUGUGCGGAGAAGACGGCCUGUGGACUGGGUACAACCCUUGCUCAGAUCCAGCCUUCAUAGGGGUCCAGUAUGCCCAGAUCUUUUGACUCUCCAAAGGAAGUCAAAAAUAUGAAUGUUUAAUACAAACUCUCCAAAUUUUAAAAUAUUGAGAAAGCAUUCAAAACACAAUGAUUUUCACCUCCAGCCUGGCCAGACAGGGCAUAUGUGAAAGUUAGUGCCUCAGAUUUAAAAUGUUGCCCGUUUCUUUUUCUCACUUAUGCUUUUCAUUCAUUUCCAAACUAACAUCAUUACCCUUGAAGAAGAUAUCAUUCAGAUAUUUUAAGAAGAUAUCAUUCAGAUAUUCUGAGACCAAGAUUCACAAACUAGUUUUGUGUUAUCAUCAUAUUCCUUACUAUCUGUGUAACGUUGGGCAAUUUGCUUAACCAUAUGAACUUAAGUUGCUUGUCUGUAAAAUGAAGCUAAUUUUACUAGCUGGGUUAAUUACUAAAUUUCAAUAAUUUACUUAAAUGCAUAUUAUAAAAUUUACAGUAAACACCAGUGCCUAAAUCCUUAAAAAUGUGUCUUGGGGUGGGGGAUACUAGAAAUUGAACUCAGGGGCACUCACCCACUGAGCCACAUCCCCAGCCCUAUUUUGAAAUUUUUUUUAAUAUUUAUUUUUUACUUGUAGUUGGACACAAUACCUUUAUUUAUCUAUUUAUUUUAUGUGGUGCUGAGGAUCGAACCUAGGGCCUUGCAUGUGCUAGGUGAACGCUCUACCACUGAGCCCACAAUCCCAGCCCCCUAUUUUGUAUUUUAUUUAGAGACAGGGUCUCAGUAAGUCGGUUAGUGCCUCGCAGUUGCUGAGGCUGGCUUUGAACUCGAGAUACUUCUGCCUCUGCCUCCUGAGCAGCUGGGAUUAUACCACCAUGCCCAGCAAAAAUAUGUCUUUUUUGACAAAAUGUAGGUAGAAGCUCAUACAACCCCCUGCUUCUAAUCCCAUUACCCCUAUCAUGAAUCACUGUUUGUUGCUGUAAUUACUAAGAAAAAAUUUAGUCAAGUUAAUCUGAAAAAUAUAUGCCAAUUUAAGUUGUGUUCAUAGUAUUCUAAAAGUUUUGAAGUUACUGCAGUAAGAUGAGCUGACUUAUAUAAUUAUAUAAUACUUUGUUCUUGGUUCUACUAUUAUGAAGGAUACAUCAGAUCAGCAGUGUUUUAAUCCAGACGUUCUCUAUAGAGAAUGUUGCCCAUUGUCAGUGAAAGAUAAGGGCUUUGGGGGUUUUACCAUGUUCCUAUCCUCCAUGCUUUUGAGAAUCAGAUCUGAGUUCUUGCUUCCUCCUACCCUCUGCUCGCUCCUCAGCUAACAAGAGCCAGACCAGUGGCCUCCACGUGAGGUCAUUGCAGAGUACCAAUAUGGUCUCCACUGCAGCUGCCCGAAAAGCAGGAGGUUUCUUCAUUCUGUAAUGAGGCCAUUGAGCUGCUUAACUCUGGGCAGCGAUCUUGCCUGCUUCUCAAAUGAGAACUAUGGGAAAACAUGCAGAAGAAUUGAGGAAGGGAAGUUUUGGAAUCAAAUAAUGAAGAUGGUAAAUAUAUGCCUUAAACUAAUGCCUCGCACGUGUGAAGUUUGCCCUAAAUUGUGGAAAUUAAACCACAGGCAGAUACUUUAUCUGAGGUAUGAAAUCUCUUUAGCUUGUCCACAUCCUCAGGAAACAUAAUCAACCCUCAAAGCUUCAAUACUUCACUAUCUAUCCUUUGCGGGGCAGGUGUACAAGGUGUACAAUUUCUUCAGAGGACAAGAAAGCAACUUCCACAGUAUGGGAAAGAGUUGGUUGUUAGUUCAGGCUAGAGGGGGAAAAAUGGAUGUAAACAAGUGUCACCUCUGUUAAAAGACAAAAUUUCAACAAAUACAGUUUUUUUUAGAUCUAAUUGGCUUUUGUGAUUCAUGAAACGGAGCAGGAGCUCAUUCUAUAAAAUAGAAAGGUGCUCCACUGGGUGUGACAAAACAAUUGAUUUUUUAUAAAGUGGGAACAAGAAAGCAGAACAAAAAAGGCACGGGGUUGGUUACUAUCAUAUUACUUCAGAUUACUUUCCUCAUAAAGGUUAAAGUGCAGGGAACUUCCUGUCCUGCUUGAUCAGGUUGACUGGGCCUUUUCAGAUUGGUUACUGUGAGUCUUCUGUUUUCAGGAAAAAAACUGAUCGCUAGGGGGUUGGCCUGAUGCCUUAAAGUUUCAGUUGGAUUGUGUGGCACUUAGCACAAGGUCACUCCAUUUUGGUUUGGUUUGCUGAGGCUUUGUGUGGGAGCUUAAUCCAAAACAAGGGCCUCUUACAAAUUUUAUUUAGCACCCCCAUUCCUGUGUGGGCAGUUUGUGUGACACAUUCUCUUAAUUGCCCCACGAGUCUUGGCUAAGGGGCCUCUGCCCCAAACCCUGGGCACUGUUUCAGGUCAGAGAAGGCCUCCCUUCCCGAUGACCUGUUUCUACACUUUCAUUCUCUGCUGAUGGCUCUUUAGAGAGAGGACAUCACUCUUUCCAUUCAUUUCACUGGGGGGUUAUAGCUCCUUACAUAGAUCUCUGGUUAUGAGCACGAAAGCACAACUACCAGGUAAGAAUUUACAAAAGGCCCCGGAUUUAAGCUGAAUGUGCUCUUAGGCUCUGCAUUCUUAGCAAACAAAACUUCCUAUUUAAGUAGGUCAGAAUAAGGCUUUUGAGGGUUUUGUGGCAUUCUAGAAAUCACGUUGCUUUCACUAAACUAUUUGAACACAGGAUAUUCGUCCUGGGAGCUUUACUAUGUCAAUUUAUCAUUACUGUUUUGAACAAAAUGAUAUAAUGCACCUUUUUUGAAUGAAGACAAACCAUAAAAGAUAGAAGACAAGUGAGUCAUUGCUUUCCUUGAAAGGACAUCCACAUAUAUUUAAAAGUUUCUCUAGUGUAUAAUUUGUGAAAUACAAACUAUCACAAUUUCCAUCAUAAGCCAUGAUCUUAAACACUUAGAUUCUUAUCUGUGAUGAAAUGCACACAUAUUAUGGAAACUUUGUUCUAACAGAGCCACACCAAUCAUAGGAUUAAAAAGUUAAUGAGAUGUCUUUUCAUUUAAAAAUACCAAACCAUAUACAGUCGUCUUCACUUAAUCAUUUAUUUAAAAUUUUAGGCAUCUUUGACUGAGAUUGUCACUUUUACUUCUUGUUAUGGACAAAGAAAGCUCAUUUUUACCCAAUAAAAACCCUGGAAUAUUCAUGUUUAACAUUACUAUUAGGUAUGAAUCAUUACUGCACAUCAGGCCUGGCCUGUGCCCUCCUUGAAUAAGGAAUUGCAGGGUACUUUUCUUUUUCUUUUUCUUUUUUUAGCUGUGCUGGGCAUGGAACCCAGGGACCUCUGCAUGUUAGGCAAGUGCUCUAUCACCCCCAGACCUCUUCAUUUUAAUGGCUUUCAUUGACAUUUUAUUAAUCAAGUCAUACACUUCAUAGAAUAAACUUCACUGCGUGCUUUCUAUGCUUUAAAAUGUGCUCAAUGCUAGAAAUGCAAAGAGGGAAAUCAGAGACCCUGCUUUCAAAAAGAAAGGAUCUUUGGCUAGGCUCUGAAUGAAUAAGAAUUCUGGUUGGUGAUCAGUGAGUGUCCAGAUAAUAGAGAACAGGUGGGAUUAAUUGGAAAGAGCAUUUAGGCCGUCUCCUUGUAUAUUUCAGGAUAUUCUCUAGAAUCUGGUUGAACAGCAGAUCUGUAUUCUUGGUUAUUGAAUAACCUGGCAAUAAGAUUUAGCAAUCAGCAGAUGUGACUCUCAUAACCAUACUCACAGGCUGUCUGUAUGUCGUUUCAUAUUAUCAAAAGCUGUGCUUAUUUUUAUAUGUGUAGAGUUGUCUUUUGCAAAGUUAAUUAACCACCGGGCAUUUAUAAUCCUGAGCAUUCUCUUCAUAUAGAAUGCUGGGGAGACACAUAGUCCACAAAAUUGACAUUUGUCUUUUGUGAUUGCCCAAUCAAUGACAUUCUGUAUCUGAAAGCAGAGGAAAUUAUUGUAAUCAACAAGGAAUCACACUGCAAGCAAUGUUAAGAAUAAGUUAUGUUUCCAUACUUACUUCCUUUAAAGCUCAAAAAGAAUGGAAAGAUUUAGUUACCCUACUUGGAACCCAAUUUCUCCUCACUGUAAUUCAAUGUUACAACUCACCUGAAUGUUUUGAAGUACUUUGGUAUGCUCCUAACAGUUUUUUAAAACUGUAACAUCAAUUGCAUUCAUAUAGAAAGUUAAAAAAAUUUAGACUAGCAAAAACAGAAAUACUGAUCAUCUCCAUAAUCCCAUAAUUUUACCAAUAACAUAAUCUCUCUUUAAUGAUUUGGAACAUGUUUUUUGAGUUUCAGUCUUUUUCUCUUUCAAAUGAAAUCACUAUACUGAACUAUUUUGCAACAUGCUUUCUUACUUUAUCAUAUGGUGUGUAACACAGAAGUUGAAUUUCAGGUGGGUUCUUUGUCUUGUGAAUUUGAAGAAUGAAAUCCACGGACACAAGGGUGAGAGCAAAGUACAGGAUGUAUUAGAGUAAGAGAAAGCAGAGCUCCUGAAAAGGGAGGGGUGCCCAUGGUGUCUGUUAUCUGUUUUUAUGGGCUUGAUCUGUCCCUGUAGGUGAUCGGUGGGACAUAGGAUUUUGGACAGAGGGGCCAAUCAACUCUUUUUCUAUUUUGUCUUCUUCAGCAAAUUUGGAGAAAAGUGAUUUCUAAGCUUUAAUCAGCACAAGUGUGGGGGUGGGGUCUGUUGGAGCAAGAGGAAGUACUUUUGGAGGUAGGUAAUGUCUAGAGCUGUUAAGAAACUGUCCUCGUGGCUAGGAAUAACUGGGGUAAGAAGCUUAAUUUCUCAAUUCUCUCUUCCUCCUUUUCUUCUCUUAGACCCUUUUUCUGACUGAUUAUGGGUUGCCUAUCUUUCUGUUUCAAUCACUUCAUCAAUAUAUUUCUAAUGUCUCCCAAAGGUUCAAUCCCUAAAUUGUCAUUUACAUCAUUAUUUUUGGAUGUAUUUUUAGGAGUAUACUAUAGCUUAUUUAACCCUGUGUUGGAGUAUUAAGGUAGUUUCCAAUACAUUAGGGGCAUUUUUUUUAAACCAAAUGUUUUUAUAUAUCGGUGAAUAAUUCAUUAAAAGUGCAUUCCCUAGAUAUUAUUUCCACUUUUAAAGAUUGUGAUAUGUGAAGUGCCCUCCAUAAAGAAUGUACCAAUUUGUACUCUCACUAGAAGAGCAUUAGAAGAUUUCCCUGAGUCCAUCCCAACACUGUGUAUUUACAUAUUUCAAAAUCCUUGCCAGUUGGAUAGAUCUAAAAGAUAUCUAUUAGUGUUUUGAUUUGCAAUGAGGAUAGAAUUUAUAUAUUUUUAUUACCUUAUAAGUAACAUUCUUGGUAGUUGGCUUGCAGGUAAAAUGAAAGAGUACAUUUGUAUUUAAAUCUUUGGAUAUAACUUCAAGUGUAUAUGUCUCUAUCUUUAUUUUUUAUGAUUCCCUCAAUCUUCCAUUUGUCUUGUGCUCUCUGGGUAAUUGUAUACCCCCAGGCGGUAUUUCCCAUGUAGCCACAAACUGAAAGCCAUACUUGAAAAGUGGGUAUAUGAUUAGCACUCAAUAUUUCCAUACUUUUUUUUAAAAACUUGAUCUUGGUUACUUAUUAUUGGAUGAUAUAACUGAAAAUUCCAAAUGCCAUUCUGUAGUUGUUGGAAAUUUAUAGGCUUCAGUGGGCUGAAGGGCUGAAAAGGUGUCAUCAGAACUGGAGUUUUUUCUCACCCCUUGGGUUUAGUUUUUCCCUUGUUGCUUCAUUCUUAAGCAGACUUAAGGCAGCUAAAGGACUGUCCACUAAGACAAGAUGGCCACCAGCAACUCAGCUCACCUGCUACUCACACAGCAAUUUUAAGGCCACUGGGAGGAAAGCUGGAUAGAGGUGAAUGUAAGGGGAAUGGAGAGUGUGAGGGAGAGAGAGGUGGGAGGGGGUGAGAUCUGUGAAUACUGAACUAUUUAAAAACUCUUUUUGAUGUGGUCUUGGUGGCAAAAUUCACAUAGCAUAAAUGUACAUUUUUAGCAUGUUUAAGCACCUCUUUUAUAAUGGCUUAAAAAAAAAAAAAAAGGCCCUUGGAGAAUUCUGAUUGAUCCCUAGAGUCAUGUGCUCAUUUCCAAGGGCAUUCUCAUAUUAGCCAGCCUAGGUCAAGGUUUUGAGACAUGAAAUACAUUCACAUUAUUUUGCAACCAUUACCCCACUCUCUUCAGAACCCUCUUCUUGCAAACUGAAACUCUUCCUCCAUUAUACAGUAGCUCCCCGUUCUCCCUACCCCAGCCCCUGGACACCUCCAUUCUGCUUCUUGUUUCUAAUAGUUUGCUCUUCUAGAUCUCUCAUGUAAGUGGAAUCAUAAGGCAAUUCUUCAUUUCUUUUUAUUUUAUUAGUGUUAUGUCUUCAAGUUUCAUCCAUGUUGUAUCAUGUGUUGAAAUUUUCUUCCUCUUAUAGCUCAGUAGUAUGCCAUGAUAUGAACACUGAACUUUUAAAGCAAGUGGGGGAAUAUGUCCCAGAGGAGGAGAUAAUCUGCUUAAGUAGCAGGAAAAAAAAAAUUGCAAAGAACCCUUCCACAAGAGCCUAAGAACAGAGGUUUCAAGGAGGGAAUGACCACAAUGUCAAGGGCUGCAUAGGUCAAGUUCAAUAACAACUGACAAGAGAGAAUGGGAUUUGGGGAAUAGAGUCAUUAUUGACCUUGGCAACAGUGAUUUUAAUAGAAUUGUGUGAGCUGAGUCCUGAUUAUUUGGGGCUCAAGAGUAAAUGGGAGAUGAAGAAUAAUGGGCUGUUUUCAGAUGUUUUGCUGUGAAGAGGAGGAGACAGAUAUAGUGGUAACUGAAGGAAUAUAGAAUUUGGGAGAAGACUUUUUUUAGUGGACAAGGAUUGGGGUGAACUUGACCUUGUUGGUAUUGCCAAAGGAGAGGGGAACAUAGUACAGGAAGAAGAGAAGCAAUGUUUGAUGGCGGAGUGGAUUGCAAGGUGAGGUGGAUGAAAUGAGGAGCAGAGAGGAGCUCAGUGCUGGCUGGCCCAGUUUCCAAAAUAAAACAGACAGUUCAUCAGCUAACUACUUUGCAAAGAACUUUAUGUUUCUUGUGGAUGCUCCUAAGUGAUACAUUUUGUUGCAGAUCCACCAGAUGCUCCCAAGGAGGUCACCUGUGUCAUUUAUGAAUAUUCAGGCAACAUGACUUGUACAUGGAAUACUGGGAAGCUCACCUACAUAGACACCAAAUACGUGGUGUACUUGAAGAGGUAGGUUCCUUCUGAGGGGGUUCACAUGUGCAGUUCCACUCCAUUCAACCUGCAUUCUGCCUGCAGCAGAGAUUCAAGAAAUCAACUUCAAACAUUAAACAUAUGCUCUGAUUAUCCCCAUCUUCCUAAUUAUGAUCAAAGAAACUAACAACACCUGUCCUGAGCCAUUCAUAUUUUAAUAUUUCUGUGGGGCAGUGUGUUCUAUGACUUUUCUAUCCUUUUUAUUCAUUGGUAGAUAACUGGUAGAUAGCACCUAAUGGUAUGGCUCAGUACAGCUUUAAAUUGGCUUCAAUCCUAACCCCAUUCUCCUUUUAGGAUUAGGACAAUUUACUCAGUUCUCAAAUUUGCUGAUUUUUUUUUUUUUUUUUUUGGUACUGGGACUUAAACCCCGGGACACUCAACCACUGACUUCAGCCCUAUUUUGUAUUUUAUUUAGAGACAGGUCUCACUGAGUUGCGUAGGGCCUCACUAAGUUGCUAAGGCUGGCUUUGAACUCAUAAUCCUCCUGCCUCAGCCUCUGAGCUGCUGGAAUUACAGGUAUGCAUCCCUGCACCCAGUACUGAUUCUUCAACAUGGGAUUCAAGUAGAACCUAAUGCGUGAGUUUGUUCUAAUUAUAUAAAUGGCAUUUGGCUUUUAAAGUAUGUACACGAGGCCAUGUUCAUAGUUGGCACUAAAUUCACAGAUGUUUUUGUCCCCACGACAAAAACUGGGCCAACUAGUACUGAGACACUACCCAGGGGAAUUCCAAAGAGUUCCCCCCCAAAGAAAGGGAAUGCCAACUCAGCCCCUGCAGGUUCUUGAUACACAUUGCAGAAGGAAAUUUCAGGACAUAGAGGCACAAAUUUUCAGGAAAAGAGGCACAAGCAGAGAUUUGUUCAGGGAAACAAGCAAUAGAGCAGGAUGCGUGCUCAAGGGGAGAGGGACUACGGGCACUUGGGGUUCAGACGUGCUUUUGUGGUCUCAGGCUUCCUUUUUUAGAGGAAACUUUGUAAAUGGUAAGCAUGCGUAGUACUGGGGUGGAGUCAGCUUAAUGGGCUUGACUCUCUAGAUCAUGGAGCACAGAGCUGGGUAUGGUGGUCUGUUUCUUCUCAGAAUCUUUAGGUUGACAUGAUUUAGUUAAGAGCGCUUGGACGUACCCUUAUCAUGGGUUUUUAACAGCAUCUUUCUCUAGGCUUCUUUUAGUCUAAAAAUAUAUCUUGCAAGCUAACAAGACACAUUAGCACUAAUUAACUGGACUUAGAAUACUCUAAGAUUUAUUGGACUUUUUAAGUAUUCUGGCCUGGAGGAAAAACAGGCCUGGGAGUGAAGGUGAGGACCUUUGUAGAGUUUUUAGAUUUAAACGACAGUCUCUCGUUCCUUCUCUGUUUGUCUCUGUUCUACCUAUCCUUAUAUCUUCUAUCCUACCUCAGUAGUAACCCCCAAAUAUGAAUUUAGUGUCAGUGUAGGCCAAUCAGUUUUUCUUAGGGGUGUCCAGAGCAUAGGACUUUCAGUUUUAAAACUUGGAAAGUUGUGGGCAAACUGGGGAGAAGUUGGUAACCUUAACCAUGUUUCUUGUUUUAUUUAUUUAUUUUUAAAGAAGCAAUGCCUUCUGUAGUGAAUUCAAAGUAUUAGUAAUCCUCAACUUUUCAUGAGCUACUUAUUUUUUAAAGGACUUACUGGACCCUUACUGUGUGCCAAGCACUGGGGCCAGGAGCUUUAUAUCCAUGACCUCAUUUAAUCCCCUAUACAACUUUGUGAGGUACAUACAAUUAUUUUUCCCACUUUUAUAGACAAGGUACUGAGACUUAGAGAAGUUAGGUGAUAUGUCCAGACCCAGGCAGCCACAGAGAGGGGCAAAUGGGAAUUGAAACUGGGCCACCUGAUGGCCUCCUUCCUGUCUUAGCGUGUUUCUGCUCAAAGGAUGUGGGAGACCGUAUCAAGGACAUAUUUUAGAGAUGCUACCAGGUCUCACCAUUAGAGAAGAGAAUAACCUUGUAAUCUUAUUCUCUCUCUGUGUGUAUGUCUCUCUCCUGAUAGGUACUCAGAAUAAUUUUAACUAAAUGAAAAAUAAAAAGGAACACCUCUUCAAGAAAUUCUGGGUAAAACCUGGAUAGAUUGUAUAAAUACAUUACUAAGCCUGGGAUUACCAACUGUUUGCCAUGGGCAGGAAGCUCCUGCUUUUUAUUCUGAGCGGGGGGGCUAAACAGGAUGGUCAGAUGUCAAAGAAACCAUGAAACCCUGAGAUCAGAAGUAGACAGAGUGAUGGAUAACAUACAAUGUGCUAAGUACUAUACUCCAUGUUUGUGUCUUCAAUUCUCAGCUCUGCCUUGUGCGGAAACUCUUGUUCUCAUUUUUUAAGUAGUUUGGAGAGUAGACAUUGCCCCUCCAAAGUCAUUUGGCUAAGAAGUAGGGGAGCUGGAAUUCUAACAGGUGUCUUUCUGGCUCUACAGUCUGAUACUUAACCUGUAUCUUGCUUUAAUGCAAAGCAAUCGCUCUGAGAUGCAAAGAGGUCAGGAGGACAAGAAAACUAGAGUCUCAUUACCAAGUUAAUUUUAGAAAUGUGAAAAUGAGAGGUGUCUGAGGGCAAACCCCAUACUUUAAGCUCACAGAAAAGCUAGGUAAUAGCAGAUUAACAGAGAAAGCUUGGUAACUUGAGGACUUUUACUGUUUUCUGGAAACCGGAUGUAUCUCACUUGCCUCAGUCUGACCCUCAACACUCACGGACUUCCUGAUCUUCUUGUUCUUCCUUCCUUCCAUUUUGCUCUCUUUCUCUAUCUUCUAUCUUAUAUAAGAUAUAAUAUAAGAUAUAAUAAUAAGAUAUAAUAUAUUAAGUAUAAUUCACCUACCACACAAUCCACCUUAUUUUAAGUAUACUAUUUAAUGAUUUUUGUUAUAUCACAAUGCAAAGAAAAGACCAUGGACUCCAAUUUUAAAUCAAAUUAAAGCAAGCUUGUAAUUCUGGCCGGGACUAUCUCUCCCGAAAUCCUUGGGUUAGAGAACAGUACCCCAGUUCUCUAGGAGCAUGGUUUUAUAGCACAAAAAGUUACAAAAGGGGGGUGCCUUGAGAACUUACAGAUAACAGGAUUUUGAAAAGUAUAAUACAAAGGCAGAUAGUAGGUUAAUGAUCUAAAUGGUUCAGCAUUUCAAGGUAGAGAGUAAAUUUAGAUCCCCAAACCGGAAUUUCUGAGGUGCUUCUAAGGUUUCAGAGAGGGUUGUUAUCUGGUUAGGGAAAGCCAGGCAUGGGUGAGUUCAAGGCAUGGGCAGGUAUUCCAAGCGAGUUUAGAAAUUGCAGUAAUUUAUAGUAAAAUAGUAACUUUUCAUGACUUUGUGACAAGAUGGCUCCCAAUCUUAAGAUGGAAUUAGGCUGGGUUCAUCAACUUUAGCAAAUUCCUAGAGUUGUGCAACUGUCACCACAAUUGAUUUUAGAACAUUUUCAUCAUGCCAAAAAGAAACCCCAUGCCCAUUAGCAGUCACUUCUUAUUUCUCCACAACCCUCCCAGCACCUGGAAACUACUAUUUUGUUUUGUUUUGUUUGUUUCUGUGGAUUUGUCUACUCUGGAUACUUCAUGUGAAAGGAAUCCUACAGUAGAUGGUCUUUAGUGACUGGCUUCUUCACUUAUCACAGUGUUUUCAAGGUUCAUCCAUGAGCAGCACGUGUCAGUACUUCAAUCCUUUUACAGCUGAAUAAUGUUCCAUUCUAGAGUUUUAUCACAUUAUGUUUAUCCAUUCAUUAGUUGAUGAGCAUUGGAUUAUUUCCACAUUCUGGCUACGUGAAUAACAUUCUAUUAACAUUUAUACAAACGUAUGUUUUCAUUUCUCUUGGGCAUAUACUGAGGCAUAGAAUUUCUGUGCGUAUAUAUUAACUGUUAGGGGAACUUCCAGAAUGUUUUCUAAAGGAGCUGCAAUAUUUUACCUUCCCACUAACAAUGUAUGGGGGGGAGUGUGUUCCAAAAUCUCCAUGCCUUUGCCAAUGCUUGUUAUUGUCUUAUUGGUUAUUGUCAUCCUAUUAGGUACAGGUUAUGGGUUAGUCAACUUUUUGUCACCGUGACCAAAAUGCCUGUCAAGAACAGCUUAGGGGGCUGAGGCUGUAGCUCAGUGGCAGAGCACUUGCCUCUCAUGGGUGAGGCACUGAGUUCGAUCCUCAGCACCACAUAAAAAUGAACAAAAUAAAAGCAUGCUGUCUUAUCUACAACUACAAAAAAAAAAAAUGCUUAGAGGAUGAAAGGUUUAUUUUAGGCUCAUCCUCUCAAAGGUUUCAGUCGAAGGUAGGCCAACUCUGGACCCCAUGGCAGAAGGACCUGGCUGGGAAUAGCUUUUCAGCUCAUGGAGGCCAGGAAAGGAGGAGCCAGAGGAACAAGAUAUAAUCCCCAAGGGCACAGUCCCAGAAAUCUACUUCCUUUUGCCACACCCCACCUGCUUACAGUUACCACCCAGUAUUGUAGUCCUUUCAAAUUAUUAAUUUAUCAAAUGGAUAAAUCACUGAUUAGAUCAGAGCUCCUAUAAUUUAAUCAUUUCACCUCUGAACAUUAUUAACAAAGGAGAUUUUUGGGGAGACACCUCAUAUCCAAACCAUAACAGGCUAAUAUUUUGGCAAACCCCACUCACCUGCCUUCUCCAGUUCCUGACAGUAGAAUUGCAUUGUAAAUUUGUGAGAGACAUAUCACAACUUGAGAAAAUAUAUUCAUUAGACAAAAUUUAAAACUUGUUAAUCACCACCUAAUUUAUUGAAAUAGUCUCUGAGUGUUUUAUGACUAUUAAUUAUGUAUUUCUUUGAGAUCCUUUAAUGCUUCAAAAUUAUAUGUGUUUAAAUUAUUUGCCCAUGGCUUUUGAAGGACACAUCUAUUUUAUAAAGAAUACCUGUAGUAGUUAUGAGUACUGAGGCUGUUUCAGACUCAAAAAGUCACUCAAAAAGUGUAUGAAGUAUAGAUUUAUAAAAGAGAAUGUGUUAAAAAAAUAACCAUGGGAAAGAGCACCAGUUAGAGUUUUAUAUUUUAUUUCUAGUUUAGGUAUCUUUUAUGAUGCAAAUAUCAUAAAACCCCAGUGCAGUGCAUUAGUUAGCUUUCAAUUUCUGCAACAAAUCUUGAUAUAAUCAACUUGUAAGGAGAAAAGUUUAUUUGGGCUCACAGUUUCAGAGGUUUCUGACCAUGACCAAUUAACCCUGUGGCUCUAGGCCUGUCCUGAGGCAGCAGCAUAUCAUAGUGGAAGCAUAUGACAGAGUAAAACUGCUUACCUUGUUACCAGAAGGAGAAAGAGAUAGGAUGAGAAAGGUGACUAGAGCCCUACUAUCCCCUUUAAGUCCAUUCCCUCUGAGAUCUGAAGACCUUUAAGGCCAUGCCCUAAGAGAUUUGAAGACCCCCCACUGGGUUGCUUUUCUUAAAGCUUCCACCACCUCCUAGUAGCACCACUAGCUGAGAUAUUCCAGAUCCAAAAUAUAGUGUGCAGUCACUUAAAUACACAGGACCUUAUCACAGGGCCUUAUUUAUAUCAGGUCACAGUGGUAUAUAGUACAGAGUUAGCAUGGCAAUUCAGUUACACUCCAAGGCCCCAAACUCUUUCCAUCUUUCUACUCUAUAAUCUUUAGUGUGUCAGCUUUAAUCUUUAGAUGCUGCAUCUCUAGUUUUCUCAUUCAAGUUCCAAGCAGGAAAAGUAGCAAAGGGAAAAGGACAUCCUCUCACGAACUUUUACCUACAUGGUGUUGGCCAGUAAGAUGCCUUAUGUCUGUCUACUCUAUUUGGAUGGAAACUGGUUAAAGGGCAUUACAAAUGGAGUUCAGUUCUGCUAUCCAACAGUAUCACCAUGCUCUCUAGCUGUGGGAUCUUGGAUAAGUUAUUUAGCCUUGCUGAGUCUCAGCAUCCUAUAAAAUAAGGGUAAUUAAUAAUAUAAAUCUUACAAAAAAGCAAAUUAUAAGAGAUGGUUUGUAUAUUAAAAAUGCUUAGAAACAACAAAAGGGGUAUCCUACUCCAUUUAUGUUUCUAUCACAAAAUAUCUUAGAUUUUAUAAUUUAUAUUUAAAAAACACAAAAAUUUAUUGCUUAUAGUUCUAGAGGCCACUAAGUCCAAGAUCGAGGCACCAGUAGAGUUGGUAUUUGGCAAGGGCUCAUUCCUUAUAGACAGUGUCUUCUAUAUAUCCUCACAUGGCAGAAGGGGUAAGGAAACUCUGUUCAAACUCCUUCUGUAAGGACACUAAAAUCAUUCAUAAGUAUGGAGCCCUCAUGACUUAAUCAUCUUCUAAAGAUCCAACCUCUUAAUAGUAUUUCAUUGGAAAAUUUCAGCAUAUGAAUUUGGUGAGGGGUGUCACCAAUAUCAGACCACAGCAAUAUCAUGGUGACAGGCAAGGCUAAUUCCCUAGGCUAGUAUGAUUUGUUCUCAUAUCAAACGCAACUAAUAUGGGAGAGAGAAAGAUUACUGUAAAGCCAUAAAAUAAUUAUUCAUAGGAUAUUAUAAACAACAGUCUUAUUUACACUAUUUUCAAGGAAUAUUACUUUUGGAAAAUCUAGAAAUAUGUUGAAUGUGCUCUAAUAAGAAAGACUAAUUUCUAGUUAUUGUAUAUAUGUCAAUAGUUAAUAUACUCAUUCAUCCAAACUAGAAUAUAAGCCCAGUGAGGACGAGAAUUAUUACCGUAUCAACUAAGUUAGAACAGAGACUGAUACCUAGUAAGUGCUAUAUAUAUAUAAUUUUUUUAAAGAGAGAGAGAGAGAAUUUUUUAAUAUUUAUUUUUUAGUUUUCGGCAGACACAACAUCUUUAUUUGUAUGUGGUGCUGAGGAUCAAACCCAGCACCACACACAUGCCAGGCGAGCGCGCUACCGCUUGAGCCACAUUCUCAGCUCUCAAUAUAUAUUUGUAGAGUAAUUUCAUCUACCUGAUAAGUAGAAAUAAACAUUUCUUACAUUUCCCCUUCACUGUCUAGUUAAAUAAGAAUAAGAAAAAGUCAUAUGUAUUUUUAAAAUUAUCUAUUCCACUGUCUUUCUAUAAAUUCAAUAAUACAGGUUGAACAUUUCUAAUUUGAAAAUGUGAAGUCUGAAAUGCUCCAAAAUCUGAAACUUUCAACUUCCCAACAUAAUAUCUCAUGUGGGAAAUUCCACAUCAUGAAAAUUUGAAAAUUUGUUUCAUGUACAAAAUCAUUUUUUUAAAUUGUAUAAAAUUAUCUUCAGCUGUAUACAUAAAAGUUUUAUGAAAUAUAAAUGAAUUUCAUGUUUAGACUUGGGUCCCUUAGCCAAGAUAUCAUAUAUAUAUAUACAUACAUACAUACACAAAUAUUCUAAAAUAUGAAAAAAUCACAAAUUCAAUACUUCCAGUUCUAAGCAUUUUGGGUAAGGCAUGUGCAACCUGUAAACUGUAACUGAACUCUGACAAACCUAACCAAAUUUUGAAUUGAUGGAGUCCAGAUUAAUGAGAUUUUAUCAUAAUUUAAAGAAUGGGAAAAAUUAUCAUAAGAAUGAAUAUUUUCCUCCAGCAUAUUCAAAGCACGAGUUCCUGUAAGCACAGACAAAUCAGAAAAGGAAACACAUAUCUAUUCAUCUUCCAAUUAAUGAAAAACAAACUCAUGAGUUGAAAGCAACUAGAGAAAGAAAAAGUCAAUUUCACUAGCAAACUACCAAGAAGAUCUUUUCUCUCAAGGAAAAAAUUGACUUAGAAUGAAUGUUGUGGUUAAGGUAGUUGGUACAGUAUCAGGUCAAAGGCCCUCCCAGAUCCUGGGGUGCUGGGGUAUUUUCCACUUGGGCAAGUAGGGAGAGAUCAGUAUUGGCAAGGUUUCACUUCCAACUCGUGUGGUUCUGUGUUCCAGUAAGGUCACAUAGAGAAACCUGUCACCUCAGCCCACACACUGGUUUCACCAGUGGCAUACAGGUGGGGAUCCCUCUUUGGCAGCACAGGGGCCAUCGGGGCCUCCUGGUGUUGGGUUGAAGUGUUAAGUAGAAGAAUUAUAUCUAUGUGGCUUCAAUAGCUUUCUCCCCACCAUCCAGCUUUUUUGUGGUGUCUUCACUAGUCACAGCCACAUGGCUAUUCACAUACCUUCCUCUUCCUCUUGUAGUUUGCUGAGUAGUCAGGGGUGGUGAUAGAAAAAAAUUAAACUUGCUUAUUGGUGUCUACCUCCUGCUCUCCCACUGUCCUCAGCAGCUUCAUGUACAUGUGCUCUUUCUUUAUCUUAGGAAUUCAUGCAGUGUCUCCUGCAGUGUCUUCUACUUGAUAAAUAUUUUUUGCACAGAAAUGAAUGGAUAACACUCCAUUCUGUUCCAUGCAAGUCAGUUUAGCAAAUAUUCAUUUAAUAUUUCAUGUCUUCCUGGCACCAUGUUAAACUCUAGAGACAAAAACAAAAGACAAAGCAAAACAAACAAACAAAAAAAGAUACAUACCAUCUCUGUGCUUGACAAGCUUAUACAUUUUUACAAGGCCACCAAUAGGGGAAUUUCAGGUACCAUGGAAGACCAAUAGGGCAAAUAUUUUUAGAUUAGAUGCCAUUUUAUUUACUUUCUAAUUUUUAACUUUUUCUUUCUUUCUUUCUUUCUUUCUUUUUUUUUGUAUCAGGAAUUGGGGCUUAACUACUAAGCUACAUUCCCAACCUUUUUUAUUUUUAUUUUGAGACAGGGUUUUGCCAAGUUGCUGAGGCUGGCCUGGAACUUGUGAUCCUCCUUCCUCAGCCUCCAAGUCAUUGGAACUACAAGCAUGUGUCACCAUGCCUGGCUUAGAUUGGAUAUCAUUUUAGACCCUUAAAUUCAGUUGCCUACUCUACCAGUUCAUAAGGGCUGCUUAUAGUUGCCACAUCUUCUUCUCCGCAUAUUUAUUUCUAACAAGCAGAAUUCUUAGAUAUGAUCCCAAACAUUUAUAAGACUGUGGUGUUAGGUUUCAGUAAUUCUUUCAGGAUUCAAUAAGCAGUUCAUAUUUUAAAAUCCAUUUCCUCACCAAUUAUGAGCCCAGAGAGCUAACUGAGACUGUAGACAAAUACAACUUUGUUCCUUUUUAUAACCAAUAAUCUCAACUGGGUCCAGAGAGCAGCACACUAGUCUUCUACAUUUCACUGGCCAAGUCAAGCCCCAGCUAAGCCAGAGAAUCUUCCCUUCUUUAACCUCUAUUGAUGAUUUGCUUCCUAUUUUACUGAGAAAAUGAGACCAAUGAGAAAUACCACAACUUCCCUCAUCUAUGUACACACUGACAUCUGUACCCACAGACUUAAUCUUUUGUUCUGUUACUCUGGAUAAACCACCCUUGUGGUUCCUCCCCACUUGUGUACUGGAUCUGCCUACUGGAGGACAUUGCUCCAACCAUUUUCCUCUUUUGUCUGCACCAUUACCUUCUCUGUCUUUACUGGGUCAUUCCCAUCAGCUUUUGAGCAUCUGCAACAUCUACUCUUUGGAAAAAUGCAAUAUUCCCUAGAUGCCUCCCCAACACCAUACUAUUUCUCUGCUUCCUUUUAUGACAGCAAUCCUCCAAAGAGCUGUCUCUACUGUCUCCAUUUUGUCCUCUCUCAUUCUUUCUUUGGUCCUUUCUCACCUUCAUUCACCACUCCACUGAAAUAGCUCUUAUCAAAGUUGCUAAGGUCAGGGCUGGAGUCGUGGCUUAGUGGUAGAGCACUUGCUUAGCACACAUGAGACUCUGGGUUUGAUCCUCAGCACCACAUAAAUAAAUACUGUGUCAAUCUACAACUAAAAAAAAAAAAAAAACUUUUUUAAGUCACUAGGGUUUCUGCAUUGCCAAAUCCGAUGGUAUAUUCACACCCUUAUCUCAUCUAUCAGGAGCACUACCUUGGCUCUUCACCUUCUUUUGGCUUUCAUAGCACCUGCUCCCUUUUGCUUCUUCUUGCUGGGUGCUUUUUCUCAUUCUCUUUUUUUCUGAUUUCUCUUCAUUUCCAGUAAAGUAAUAAAAGACCCAGAGCUCUGCCCUAGGACCUCCUAUUAUCUUUACCUACAUCCAUUACUUUAAAUAUCUCAUCCAAAUUUAUGGCAUAAAACUCCCCAAUUUAUAUGUCCAGUCCAAAUAUCUCUCCUGGGCUACAGCUGCUAUAUAUCUUAACAUCUCUUUUAGCAUCCAAAAGGUAUUAUUACAAAGUUAUCAUUUUCUAAACCAGAUGCCAGUUUCCUCUCCCCAGAUUUGCUGAUUCCAUCUUAGUAAACCACAUGUCUAUCCUUAGCAUUAUUCAUAUAAAAAUGAUUGGAGUCCUCCUGGAUUUCUAUCUUGCCUUUCAUCCAAUUGAGCACCGUAAUCUUGUGGAUCUACCUUGUAGAUAUCUGACAUCUUCUCACCACUGUACUGCCGUCCUAGGCCAAGCCAUGUCACCUGUCACCCAGUCAAUCCAGGAGCUUCCUAACUGGUUCCUUAUUCUCUGCCUUGUCCCAUGUAGUUCCUUUGUUAUUGAUUUUUGAGCCCAAAGACUGCAUUCUUUUUCUUUCGAGGAAAAGUGGAGUCAAUGAGAAGACUGAGAACCACUGAGCAGUGAAAGAGACUUUUAUUCUUGGUCAAGAAUGGAGAAGUGGAAUUUAAACUUGAAAAUCAACUUCUCCCUGCUCAUGGCCAGGGGGUUAUAUCAAUAGGGUAAAAUAAAUGAAGAACAGAGACGGUUAAUAGGGUGGAGGACUAUUCAUGUAUUUUAUUAUUAUAAUAAUAGAUUGUCAAGGGGUCACUUUGGCAGCCAUCUUAGAUCCAACCAGUUUUGGCCAGCCCACCAGAAGCGGAACUGGCCUUCAGGCAUGCUGUCCUCAAAGAGGGCAGAGUUAGGGUGGGAUAGAAAUUCAGUUAGGUCAUCCAGGCAGUAGAAGACAAAGGCUGGUAACACCUUAUUCACAAGUAGAUAAUCUUUUUUAUAGGCAUCUAAGAUCUUAUCACCCUUCUGCUUGGAACAUCUCAUUUCAGAAAUCAAAGCCAGAAUACUUCCUUGUCUCUACAUGCCUUUUAAAUACCUCCUUCCUGGAGAACUCUUUGUUCUCAUGUCUAAUCCCUUUCCGGCUCCCUCCAUCUGAAACCUCAUUGACCUCUUUGGUAUUCCUUGAGCAGGCCAAGCAAAGGUCCUGCCUCACGGUGUUGCGGAAAGCUCUGUCCUUGUCCCCAGUGCCAAUCCAAUAAUGAAGAUAUAGUUUUGAGAAAAAAGGAAAAAGAAAGUUUAUUGCUUUGCUAGCAAAGGAGAAACAGGGGACUCCUGUCCCAAAGACGGUGAUUCUGCCCAUUAGCAGAAAUUAGAGGCUUUUAAACAGGUGACUUAAAGGCUACAUUCCCUGUGUUCUCUGUUGGAGUUGUGAUUCACUUGUUAAUUUGGGAGAUAUUCAUUUCUGAGAUCUUCUAGUGCUAUCCCCAAAGUCUGGAUAAUUUCAUUCCUAAAGUGAGUGUGUACUCAGGGACAGAUAACUCUGUCUAUGAUGGGGAAGAGAGGUAAUAAUCCUGUUUCCCCUGAGAUUGGGUGAGGCAGAGAUUAGGGAGGAGCAGGAAGAGAGGAAGAGAAAGAAACAUGUCCAUUUUAAUAAUAAAUUGCAGUGGUAGAGCAGCAAGGGCUAUGUUCAAGGCAUAAGGUGGGACACUUAAAGAGGGCCUUUGCCUAUUACCUAAAAUGCCCUUCCUCCCAAGAGCCACAGUGUUUGUUCCUUUACUGAUCUAAUAUCACUUUCUCAAACGGGCCUUACCUCUUCUCCCUAAAUAUAGAAAUCCACACCCUUACCCCCAGAACUUUCUAGCACCUUUAUUUGGCCUUAUUUUUCUUCAGAACAUUUACCAUCUCAGAGUAUCUUAUACAUAUUUGUUUCACCAGAAUGUGUACUUCAUGAGAAUUGCAACUUCAUCUGUAUUUUUUUUGUAGCCCCAGUGUAUAAAGAUGUACUUGGAAUAUAGUUGGUGUUAGAUAAAUGUGUGUUGAAUGAGUGAUUAACUAUAAACAGAUGAUGUUAUUCAUCACUAUUGCCAUAAUUUGACAGUGUUUAUUGAAAAUUAUUAAUUAGGAUUAGGUCUAGGCGCAUGGGGAAUAUCUGAAAACCAAAUCAAUUCCCUUCAAAGAGUAAUCUGCUAUGCAUUAGCACACAUACACACAGAGAAAGAAAUAGAGAAAUUUAGAAACUUUUCUGUGAGUCAUUUUUCUUUGUUACCAUGACAAAAUACCUGAGAAAAACAGCUUAGAGAAGGAAAGAGUUAUUUUGGCUCUUGGGUCAGAGGUUUCCGAUCCAUGGCCAACUGGAUCCAUUGCUAUAGGCCAUAUAGCAGAGCUGCUUACCUCAUGGCAUGGGUAGGAGUGGGGGUGGGAUGCAAGCACCAGGAACAAGAUACAACCUUCCAGGGCAUGUCCCCACUGAGCUACUUCCUCCAACUAGGCCCACCUUCUAUAGUUUCCAUCAUCUCUUAAUAAUGUCAGCAAAUUAAUCCAUCAGUAGAUUAAUCCACUGAUGAGGUUAGAGUUCCCCUGUGAUCCACUCACUUCCCUGAAGUUUCACCUCUGAACAUUGCUGCAUGGAGAACCAAGCCUUCAACACAUAAGCUAUUGGGAAAUAUUCCAGAUCCAAACCACAACAACUCUGUGGUGUACAGUUCUAUGAGCAAUCAAGGACAAUCCAGAGUGUUCUUUCCUACUUUCUCAGCACAAUGCUUUUGACACCACAUCUAUAGGGGAGGAGGCUUCUUUCCAUACACCAACUAUCUCCCCAGCAGAGCCAGGUGGGUGUUCCCCAAUUCCAUUUUGACACCACCUAUGUUGGAGAUAACACCAGAUCAUUCCCAGAAGGCUGAUGCCCCCACUUCAGAUGCCAGUCAAAAGCCCCGAGUCCUGACCUGUGUUUUUUUUUUUUGGUACCAGGGAUUAAACUCAGGGGCACUUAACCACUGAGUCACAUCCCCAGCCCUAUAGGCCAUAUAGCAGAGCUGCUCACCUCAUGGCAUCACCCCAUUAGCAGAAAUUAGAGGCUUUUAAACAGGUGACUUAAAGGCUACAUUCCCUGUGUUCUCUGUUGGAGUUGUGAUUCACUUGUUAAUUUGGGAGAUAUUCAUUUCUGAGAUCUUCUGGUGCUAUCCCCAAAGUCUGGAUAAUUUCAUUCCUAAAGUGAGUGUGUACUCAGGGACAGAUAACUCUGUCUAUGAUGGGGAAGAAAGGUAAUAAUCCUGUUUGACCUCUUUGGUAUUCCUUGAGCAGGCCAAGCAAAGGUCCUGCCUCACGGUGUUGCGGAAAGCCAUGAGGUGAGCAGCUCUGCUAUAUGGCCUAUAGCAAUGUUCUCACUGAGUUGCUUAGGACCUCUCUCUUGCUGAGGCUGGCUUUGAACUCGUGAUCCUCUUGCCUCCCAAGUCACUGGGAUUACAGGUGUGCACCACUGCACCUGGCUUUGACCUAUGCUUUUGACCGGCUAAAAAUCAGGGUUUCCAGGACACCCUCCUCAGCUUUAAUUUAUUAUUGUGACUUACAGAACUCAGGGUCAUGCUUUACUUAAUAUCCUUUACUAUUAUAAAGGAUAUUACAAAGGAUAUGGAUGAAUAGCCACAUGGAAAAGAUGCAAUAAAGACAUCUGAGAAGGUAUAUGGAAGCUCCACCGUUGGCCAUUGAUUAUCUACUUGGCCAUUGGUUAUCUAUGGAGCCUUCAGCCCUGCUCCCUUCCCCAGUGGUGGGAGGAAUGGAGGGGUUGCUGAAAGCUCCAGCCUCUCAUCUUUGAUGUCCCUUGGUGGGUCCCCUAUCCCUGCCCCCAUAACCAGCCUCCCUCCCGAGGCUGCCCAGGAGCACCCUCUUCAGUCAUCUCAUUAGCAUACAGGAAGACACUUAUUACUUUGGAAAUCUCAAGGGUUUCAGGAGCUAUGUUCCAGAAACCAAGCAGAGAUCAAAUAUGCACAGUAUUUAUCAUAUCACAGUAUCAUGAUAGUCCUAAGGUAUAAUCCGUCAUUAUUAUUGGAGUCUUCAACUAAAACAGUGCUUUGUGGUCUAGGUGCUAACAUGAGGAAGAAUUUCAAAGCAGAAUUAAAUCACCUAGUAACCGAAGUUAAUGUCAAUUUGAGAAUACAUUUCCAUUUUGACUUGAAGUCUUAAUAUGUGUGAUAAAAGAAUUAGCCACAAACCAAUUAAGAACAUGGAUGUGGUUUUCUCUAACUGGAAAAUAUUCAAAGGUGCCCCACUUACCUAUAACCGUAGUUGUCAUUUCCUUAUUUUCACAUUUGAAUUCUUCUUUAAUAUAAGGUUAGCAUAUCUUCUAGUAAGUUCUCUGUUAGUGGGGCCUAGCAGGCAUUUGAACCUAAGUCUGUCUUUAAAACCAAAGCUCUGUUAGUGUAUUUACGCUCCCUUUUAUUUCAUAAAGAAUACAAGUCAGUUACAUAAACAAGGCAUAAUUUAAUUUUAUUUUGUGGUAUGGGUACUGAGCUCAGGGUUCUCUAUCACUGAGCUAUAUCCCUUCCUUCUUAUUUUUUUAUUUUGAGAUAGGGGUUCACUAAGGCUGGCCUUCAACUUGUGACCCUCCUGCCUCAGCCUCCUGGCUGGGUUUACAGGUGUGCACCAUUAUACCCAGCCAUAGUUUAACUUUAGAUACAAGCAAUAGCCUUCUGCUCCUUGCUUUUUUUUCUCAUUUACUCAUUUAUUUAGGAUAACAACAACGCUACUCUAUCAUCCUUAUUUUACAGAUGAUUAAACUGAAGUAUAUAGUGGUUAAGUAACUUGCCCCAAGUCCUACACCUUAUCAAAGGGCCUAACAGGCAUUCGAAAUUAGGGCUCUCUGUAAAACCCAAGCCCUGUGUUUUAAAUUACCAUGAUAUGUCUUUCUUAUUACCCCAUGGUAUUGGUAGUCACCUCACUGCUGGUGAGAGGAAAGAGGCAGUACUGGAAAAUGCACUUGAACUUGACCUAAGGGCACAAGAAUAGUUGUUGUACCUGCAAGUAUGUAGCCCCUUCCCACACCCCAAGGACUAUCAACCUGAGAGGUUGUCUUGCUCCUCUAUAGAUAAAGAUUGAUUUAAUUUCUGAAGCAUUUUAAUUCAUAGAUGACUUUGUUGGUGGUAGCCUAAGGCAAGCAUGUCAUUUGAAUUCUGAAAGAUGUAAGUGGCUGGGAGACUGUGGGACUGAAGAAAUUUAGGAUUAUUGAAAAGAAUACAGUAAUAACAGGACCCAGAGAGGAAGGAACCCUAGGGAUGAGAUGAUAGUGAUUUUCAAGUUUAUCUUCCCCACAGAUCUUAUCAAGCCAGUCUCCUGGGACAGAGAACAAUUGACAGUGUUAGGUAAAGAAAUAGGGUUGGAGCUGCUUCAGUAGCAUAAACACCAUAAUUAGAAUAAUACAAAGACCAUGCACAGGACCUGUGAUCAAAGAUGAUAUGCAAAUUUGUGAAGUAUUUCCACUCAUUAAAAGUAAGAAUUUAGAAUACUCAGUUUUCAUUGUUUUUCAAAUUCCAAGGCCAUUUUCCUUCUAAAUUAGUAUAUAUGUAUUAUUAGAUUUCACAGUAUAAUACAAUUAGAAGUCUAUAAAUAAGGUGUCAAAUGGAUAAUAUAAAGCCUAAACUAUCACCAUAGUCUCAAAACAGGAAGGAAAGAUAAAAAAGAAUAUUUUAAAGCAUGCUUACCCUUCUUGGUAACUGGUUGGCUCUUACGAGUGACAGAAAGUUAUUAAGAAUGGUGAGGUUUAACUUCCUAUCCUUGUGGUUCCCAUUCCCAUUCUUCCAAUUAUGUAGAGUUACACCAUAUAUGAACAUAGGAAUGUCAUCCUCACCCUUCACCCUACUCCUGGCAGAAAUGUCUGACUUCAGAAUCCCUGCACUGAACCCGUGCAACCCUUGCUCCAAGAGGCAGCUCUUUUAUUCCAAGCCAUGUCAGGACUGACUUGAUCAAUGGGCACAGUAAGCACACUGCCUAUGCCUCACAUGCUUUUGGGGAGUCCAUGAAAAUAUUUAAUUUCCUUUAAAAUCAGAAGAGAAAAAUGAACUGUUAGGAUAAAUAAAAUGGUUUAAUAUAUAAUAAUAAUAUAUUUUUCUUUAUAUCAACACGGUUUUAAAACAAUAGUCUGUGAUUAUAAGCACGUGUAUGUAUGUAUGUAUACAUGUACAUAUGUGUGUUUAUACAUAUUUUAUAUAUUUCUAUUUACACACACUUUUUUUAAUGGAGAAAAAAAGGUCUUAUGAAGGCCAAAGUGUUUAGAUCCAAAUGAAGUCAUAACGUGGCCCUUGUCAGAUUUGAAUUUGUUUUUAAAAAUUCAGAAAAUGAAAUCAAAUUUGCUUAAUUUCAGUAAAAGAUUAUAUAUCUGAAAGCAGAUUUUAAAUGGUGGCAUCAAAAACUUUGGGAUGUGGGAUGGAGCCCCAGGACUACCAAAAAAAAAAAAAAAUCUGAAAAAAUGAGUUCAAACUGAAUAGAAGUUGGUGAUUUUUUUUCCUUCUUUUUUCAAGUUUAGAGACAGAAGAAGAGCAACAGUAUCUUGCCACAAACUGUAUUAACAUCUCCAUGGACUCACUGCAAGCAGGCAGGCAGUAUUUGGUUUGGGUUCAAGCUGCAAAUGCAUUAGGCGUGGAGGAGUCAGAACCACUCCAGAUCCAUCUGGAUGAUAUAGGUAAAGAACAAGCAACUCCAUAGUGUCUUUAAUGAUAGACAACUACUUGUGCUAACCUAGUCAAUGAAGUCUAGAUCUGAAAGAAGAUUCUGCAUAUCAUGAUGGAUAAAAUAGAUAUCAUUCGUAAUUCCUCCUGCCCAAAGCAACUUGGAGAUGAAAGUUGCCAACAGCAAGCCAACCAUGCUAUUGUAUACCCUUCCUGUCUGAUUUCUACUUAGGUGUAUGUGCUUACAGUUCACAUACAUGUAUGUGAAUUGUGCUUACAGUUCUGUUGGGAACUUCCUGUUUCCAAGUGUUUUUCUAAGGGCCAGGGACAGUAAGAUAGACAAGGAAAGUGCUCUAUAAUAAUUUGCAAUCUACCAAGGAGGAGAAACAAGGAUUAAAAUAAAUUAUGAUGUGUCUUAUAUUGUGAGAAGUACAGCAUACUAGGAAAUUACUCUCUAUACACUAUCUGGGGCUUACAAGGGGGAUUUUGUCUUCAUCUUUACAUAUUAUAAAAUACAAUGAAAAUUACAGCAAAUUUUAUAGACAUCCAUAAGUUGACAGUCAGAUAUAACAAAUGUUAGGAUGUUUUGCUUCAGAUAUUUUUAGAUCUUAAUUCUUUUACAUAAAAUAUAUAAUAAACAUUUCUAUCAACUUAAUCUACAAUAUUAUUUUUAGUGUUGUCUGAGUAUAGAAUAGUUUAAUCCCUUCUUAUGGAGGUUUAUGGUGUUUUCAAUUUCUCAUCAUUAUAAACUAUAUUACCAUGAACACCUUAUUGCUAAAUUUUAUUAUUAUAAAAUAAUAAUAUCUUUAUUAUUUUCUAAAAAUAAAUUCCAAAAAGUGGGGCUGGGGUUGUGCCUCAGUGAUAGAGUGCUUGCCUAGCACAUGUGAGGCACUGGGUUCAAUCCUCAGCACCACAUAAAAAUAAGUAAAUAAAUAAAUAAAAGUAUGGAAAAGCAUACAGUGCUUAUACAUUAAAAAAAAUUCAAAAAGUAAUUAUCCUUAAGCUUCUUACAAUUACACCCAAGCCCUAAAAUCAGAACUCAGAGCAUCAAGUAGGAAUUGCUCUGCCUUUAAAGGUCCUAGCACCAAUGAUUCCUCAUGUGCUAAUUGCUUUUACAUCCUAUUUUGUAGAAGAUAUUAUAAUUUGCAUAAGGAAAGCAAGGCUUGGUGGCAUUAAAAAUGUUUACAUUACAGAGCUAGGGAUUGCUUAAUUCCAAUCUUCUUGAAUCUUGUCCUUAGACUUUAUGAGAAUUUUUUUAAAAAAUCAUAAUGUGUCUGAAAACUUUCCUGCUGAAUGGCGUAUGGGAAGUGAAGCCUUCUCUUGGGGUACCACACAGGUAGGUACUCUUUGGGCAUCACUGCAGUCUUCUAUAGCAAGUAAUAUCUCAACUUCUAAACUAACCACAACUAGCUCAGAUAACUAGAUUGUCUAAGAAUCUGUCCCAUGCUCUGAAUACUGGAUUUGGCUAUGGUGAUGAACACCAGAGCCAUUUCUUUGUAUAUUCUUGGAGUUGUAGUUCUCUUCAUCACGAUCUACACAUUUUUGCAAGUUUGUAUUUUGAGGUAGAAUGCAAUAAUAUAUCCUUUUUUUGAAAGCAGAUUCCUCUUGAUGGAUUAAUGAAGUAGAAAGGCUGUUAUGACUGGUGCCCUUUUUAGGAAUAAUUAUAACCAGUAAAUGAUAAUUCUAAAUUAUGACCAGGAGUAGUAUUACUGUUGUUGUUAUCAUUUUGAUCUUAAUAUCAUCUCACCUGUUUAUUGAACACCUAUUGUGUUUCGAACACUUAACAUACAUAUCACAUUUAAUUUUGGAAACAAGCAUAUAUGGUAGUACUGUCCCAUUUUAUAGAUGAGGAAAAGUGAUAAAAAUUUCUCCCUAGGCCAGUUUCUAAAUUCCUAAGAAUUUCUUUCUUUUUCUAGUGAUUCCUUCUGCAUCCAUCAUCGCAAGAGCUGAAACUAUAAAUGCUACAGUAGCCAAGACCAUAAUUCACUGGAAUAGUGAAACAACAAUUGAAAAGGUUUCCUGUGAAAUGAGACAUAAGGCUACAAUAAACCAAACUUGGAAUGUAAGCUAAAUUUUCAUUAUUCUUUAGCAUGUGAGUGAAUGGUUUAAAAGAAAAGCCUACUCCCAGUGUUCACAGUGGACUCAUUAAUGAUUUAUUUUACAUGUUUCUGAUUAUUUGUGUGAUUUUCAAACUACUCUAGUUUUUUUUUUUUUUUUUGAUGUGGUUUGGUUUGGGUUUCUUGGUACCAGGGAUUGAACCCAGAGGUGCUUUCCUACUGAGCUACAUCCCCAGCCCUUUUAAAUUUUAUUUUGAGAAAGAUUCUAGCUAAGUUGCUGAGGCUGACCUCAAAAUUGUCAUCCUCCUGCCUCAGCCACUGGAGUCACUGGGAUUACAGGCAUGUGCUAUCUCACUGGGCUCAAGCCACUCUAGCUUUAAUAAUGAUUGCCAUAUGCUUCCAGAGAGCUAUUUCCUGAAAAAGAUCCUCAUCCCUUUUGUAAAUUGUUAAACAAACCAAAUAUACAACUAAAGAGGAAUCUAAUUUUAGUUCCUUGUAAUUAAUUCACUGUCUCUUAGGGGAAAUUUACAUCUAUGAUCCUGGAUAUAAAAUUUAAAUAUUCUAUGCUAAAAUCUGACAGGCAUCCAGGGAAAUUAAAAAUUGUUCAGAAUGGAAAACUUAGACUUAAGGAUCUCUCUCUCUCUCUCUCUCUCUCUCUCUCUCUCUCUCUCAAUAUUUUUUAGUUGUAAAUGGAUCUUUUAAUUAAUUAUUAAUUAAUAUGCAGUGCUGAGUAUCAAACCCAGGACCUCACACAUGCCAGGCAAGUGCUUUACCACUGAGCCACAACUCCAGCCCCAAGAAUGUCUCUUUUUAAAUAAAAAAUGUACAAUUCAUAGUGGAAAACUCAUUACUAAUACAGGCCUCAGCCUUGGAUUAACUUAAAACAAAAACUGAAUAUCUAGAAAACAAACUAUUCUUAAGUACCAAGUGCAAAUUUAUCAAGUGGGGAGAGGCACAGAUAUAAGCUUCCUUAAUAAAUUUAUGUGACAGCACCAAUAUAAUUAAAACUCACUAAUUUGAACUUGUAUGACUUAGAGGAAAGUUCCAAUUUUGNAGUGAAGCCUUCUCUUGGGGUACCACACAGGUAGGUACUCUUUGGGCAUCACUGCAGUCUUCUAUAGCAAGUAAUAUCUCAACUUCUAAACUAACCACAACUAGCUCAGAUAACUAGAUUGUCUAAGAAUCUGUCCCAUGCUCUGAAUACUGGAUUUGGCUAUGGUGAUGAACACCAGAGCCAUUUCUUUGUAUAUUCUUGGAGUUGUAGUUCUCUUCAUCACGAUCUACACAUUUUUGCAAGUUUGUAUUUUGAGGUAGAAUGCAAUAAUAUAUCCUUUUUUUGAAAGCAGAUUCCUCUUGAUGGAUUAAUGAAGUAGAAAGGCUGUUAUGACUGGUGCCCUUUUUAGGAAUAAUUAUAACCAGUAAAUGAUAAUUCUAAAUUAUGACCAGGAGUAGUAUUACUGUUGUUGUUAUCAUUUUGAUCUUAAUAUCAUCUCACCUGUUUAUUGAACACCUAUUGUGUUUCGAACACUUAACAUACAUAUCACAUUUAAUUUUGGAAACAAGCAUAUAUGGUAGUACUGUCCCAUUUUAUAGAUGAGGAAAAGUGAUAAAAAUUUCUCCCUAGGCCAGUUUCUAAAUUCCUAAGAAUUUCUUUCUUUUUCUAGUGAUUCCUUCUGCAUCCAUCAUCGCAAGAGCUGAAACUAUAAAUGCUACAGUAGCCAAGACCAUAAUUCACUGGAAUAGUGAAACAACAAUUGAAAAGGUUUCCUGUGAAAUGAGACAUAAGGCUACAAUAAACCAAACUUGGAAUGUAAGCUAAAUUUUCAUUAUUCUUUAGCAUGUGAGUGAA
Molecule: long non-coding RNA, 28031 nt
Filed under: Marmota monax (woodchuck)
Lineage: Eukaryota; Metazoa; Chordata; Mammalia; Rodentia; Sciuridae
Rfam family: tRNA (bases 17218-17286)
Source: RNAcentral